RNAcentral lists this ribosomal RNA (459 nucleotides) under uncultured bacterium. Its description in RNAcentral is "partial 16S ribosomal RNA". It matches the Rfam family "Bacterial small subunit ribosomal RNA", at positions 338 to 795 of the family's 1533-position model. The record is from RNAcentral.
CCUACGGGAGGCUGCAGUGAGGAAUAUUGGUCAAUGGGCGGGAGCCUGAACCAGCCAAGUCGCGUGAGGGAAGAAGGUACUGAGUGUUGUAAACUUCUUUUGUCAGGGGAUAAAGGCGUCCACGGGUGGGCGUUUGAGUGUACCUGGAGAAAAAGCAUCGGCUAACUCCGUGCCAGCAGCCGCGGUAAUACGGAGGAUGCGAGCGUUAUCCGGAUUUAUUGGGUUUAAGGGGUGCGAAGGCGGUUUGUCAAGUCAGCGGUAAAAUGUGGGGGCUCAACCCUGACGUGCCGUUGAAACUGGCGUGCUCGAGUUGAGGAGAGGUAUGCGGAAUUCGUGGUGUAGCGGUGAAAUGCAUAGAUAUCACGAAGAACCCCGAUUGCGAAGGCAGCAUACCGGAUCCACACUGACGCUGAGGCUCGAAAGCGUGGGUAUCGAACAGGAUUAGAUACCCCAGUAGUC